UACGUAGGUGACAAGCGUUGUCCGGAUUUACUGGGCGUAAAGAGCGCGCAGGCGGUCGUUCAAGUCGAGUGUGAAAGCCCCCGGCUCAACUGGGGAGGGUCAUUCGAUACUGAUCGACUCGAAGGCAGGAGAGGGAAGUGGAAUUCCCGGUGUAGUGGUGAAAUGCGUAGAUAUCGGGAGGAACACCAGUGGCGAAGGCGACCCACUGGGUCAUUUCUGACGCUGAGGUACGAAAGCUAGGGUAGCGAACGGG
Molecule: ribosomal RNA, 253 nt
Filed under: uncultured bacterium
Lineage: Bacteria
Description: partial 16S ribosomal RNA
Rfam family: Bacterial small subunit ribosomal RNA
Source: RNAcentral